This 2119-nucleotide long non-coding RNA is filed under the name Homo sapiens (human). RNAcentral's name for it is "non-protein coding LINC00630:51". The record is from RNAcentral. Lineage: Eukaryota; Metazoa; Chordata; Mammalia; Primates; Hominidae.
GAGACCAAUUUGGCCUGGGGAGAACCGCCUUCAGGCGUUUGGACUCAGUGGAGGUUGUGAGUGCCCAGCAGUGUGGCCUGAAUCUCCGUGGGGUUUAGGGAGACGAAAGGACCCCAGAUCGACGUCCCCUCGUUCCCACUUUGGGGAUCGGCGCUCUGGCUGUUUCGUGAAGGAGAGAGAGGUUGAUUCCAUACCCUGGCUAUUGUGAAUAAUGCUGCAGUGAACAUGGGAGUACAUACAUCUGUUUGAGGAACUCAGAGUGGUUUUCCAGAUGGGAAUCACAUUGCUCUCUGUCCCUGAGAUCUUGCUGGAGACAGGGCUACUCAGUCCCUCUUUGCCAGAUUGAUACUGGAAAAGCAGUUUCUAUUGAGCCCCCAAAUGAAGAGUGAGUGCAGAUGAAGAGGAGGCAGGACUCACAAGCCCUUGAACUUUAUUCCAGAUCUGUUAGCACCUACAGGACCCUGCACCAGGAUUUCAUCUGUACUAUCAGCUUCUUCAAAGAGAGAGAGGUUGUUGAAUUGAUAUUGGAAAAGCAGUUUCCCAUUGAGUCUCAAAUGAAGAGAGUGCAGAUGAAGAGGAGCUCUUCAUGUGGAUGUCUGAGCUCAUAUCAGGUGUCUGAAAGAGGCAGAUUCUGAGGAUUUGGGUCAUGAUGGCUGCCAAAGCUUCUACUCCUGACUUAAAGGGCAACAAUCCUAGGAGACCACCAGCACUUACAUCCCUGGUAGGACAUGACACCUGCUUAUGGCUCAGAAGUGACAAAAGAGAAUUAUCAGGAUGGCAGUCCUUAUAACCAGAUGCUUAUCAACAUUCUUCACUACAUUCUGAAGAUGAAUUUCUACAAGGGAAAUUGUUUAUAUUUGUUGUUGGGGAUAGAUAAGGAAAGAAGAAAAAGGCUCUGGUGAGAAACCCAUUGUACCUUCUGGAUAUGAUCACUACCCAAUUUUAUCAGUGUCAUUGAUCACUAACCCAGUGCCUCGUAUGGUGCCAGGCACAGAGUUACUCCAAGAAUGUACAAUAAUGGCUGGAUUCUCUUUCUCCCUGUGCAACUCUUCAUGCAUGUGACUGAACUUAUAUUAAGUGUCUGAAGGAGGUUCGUUCUGAGGAUCUGGGACAUGAUGGGUGCUGAAGCUUCUACUCAAGAUUUGAAGGGCAGCUGUCCUCAGGAGACCCCUGGCACUUCCCUCCAUGGUGGGAUGUGAUGCCUGAUUCCAGUGAGUUCAUAGAGCUGAACAAAAGUACGUUGUGGAAUAGCUCCUGUGAGGUUCACAACAUAGUCCGGAAGAUGAGAAACUACUUUUUUUAGUAACCUGGAUUCCCAUCUAAGAGAUGCCUUACUUUAUCGUAAAGCAAUGAGUUGUUCACUUGAGGAGGGAACUUCAUGUUUAACAUGUAUUUGCAACAAAUUUACAUACAUUUUCUGCCUGUAUGAAUAGUUGUCAGUGAUGCCCAUGAAUUUCUCAGAUGGAUGUUGAAGUAUACAGUUAGAAGGUUAGAAGAUCUUCCUAGCAAUCUGUGAUUACGGUAUGCAUUCUUCCAUGGUUUCUACGUUUUUGUCUAUUCUAUAAUGAAAUUUUCUAAGAAGCCAGAAAUUAAUUAAGUGCUACCUAAAAAUAUCAAAAUGUCAGGUACAAGAAUUUGGCAUUUUCAAAAUUAGUAAUUACAAUGUAAGUUUGCCCUAUUAUAAUGAUACCCAGCUAUGUCCAGUAACAUAACUAGAUUGUUCUGAAUACCGUUAUUAUUUCCCAAUAAUACAAACAUCACAAUUUCAGUUCUGUAGUACCUGGCCUACCUACCCUUCCCACUGCCUUGCCCCAGGUAAACACAGCAUGCCUGUCACUAUACAUUAUUUUACAUGCCUGGAAAUAUAUUUAAAUGGAAUCAUAGAGGUGGUUUCUUUUUUUUUUUUUUAUCAACACCUGGCUUUUUUCAUUCACUCCACUUAUUUUUAUAUUUAUCCAUUUUAUUGCAUUUAUCUAUUGAUAUACUUCAUUCUUUUUGAUUGCUAAAUACUAUUGCGGUAUACAACCACACUAAACAUUUUAUUAUCCAUCCAUUUGUCGAUGGACAUUUUGGUUGUUUCUCAUUUGGGGCUCUUGUAAAUAAAGCUGCUAUGAACAUU